UACCAGACUCCUACGGGAGGCAGCAGUGGGGAAUAUUGCACAAUGGGGGAAACCCUGAUGCAGCGACGCCGCGUGAGUGAAGAAGUAUUUCGGUAUGUAAAGCUCUAUCAGCAGGGAAGAAGAUGACGGUACCUGAUUAAGAAGCCCCGGCUAACUACGUGCCAGCAGCCGCGGUAAUACGUAGGGGGCAAGCGUUAUCCGGAUUUACUGGGUGUAAAGGGAGCGUAGACGGUGAUGCAAGUCAGAAGUGAAAGCCCGGGGCUCAACUCCGGGACUGCUUUUGAAACUGUGUGACUGGAGUGCAGGAGAGGUAAGCGGAAUUCCUGGUGUAGCGGUGAAAUGCGUAGAUAUCAGGAGAAACACCAGUGGCGAAGGCGGCUUACUGAACUGUAACUGACGUUGAGGCUCGAAAGCGUGGGGAGCAAACAGGAUUAGAUACCCCGGUAGU
This 448-nucleotide ribosomal RNA is filed under the name uncultured bacterium. Its description in RNAcentral is "bacterial SSU rRNA". It matches the Rfam family "Bacterial small subunit ribosomal RNA", at positions 329 to 794 of the family's 1533-position model. The record is from RNAcentral.